AUACUUACCUGGCAGGGGAGAUACCAUGAUCAGGAAGGUGGUUUUCCCAGGGUGAGGCCCAUCCGUUGCACUCAGGAUGUGCUGACCCUUGCGAUUUCCCCAAGUGCGGGAAACUCGACUGCAAAAUUUGUGGUAGUGGGGGGCUGCGUUCGCGCUUUCCCCUA
Molecule: small nuclear RNA, 164 nt
Organism: Nannospalax galili (Upper Galilee mountains blind mole rat)
Lineage: Eukaryota; Metazoa; Chordata; Mammalia; Rodentia; Spalacidae
Gene: U1
Rfam family: U1 spliceosomal RNA
About the family: U1 is a small nuclear RNA (snRNA) component of the spliceosome (involved in pre-mRNA splicing). Its 5' end forms complementary base pairs with the 5' splice junction, thus defining the 5' donor site of an intron.
Source: Ensembl